RNAcentral lists this ribosomal RNA (2845 nucleotides) under Christiangramia flava JLT2011. Its description in RNAcentral is "LSU rRNA". It matches the Rfam family "Bacterial large subunit ribosomal RNA". Lineage: Bacteria; Pseudomonadati; Bacteroidota; Flavobacteriia; Flavobacteriales; Flavobacteriaceae. The record is from RNAcentral.
AAACGCAUACAAGCUAGAUAAGGGCGUAUGGGGGAUGCCUAGGCUCUCAGAGGCGAAGAAGGACGUGAUAAGCUGCGAAAAGCUGCGGGGAUUGGCACAUACAAGUUGAUCCGCAGAUAUCCGAAUGGGGCAACCCACUUAGUUGAAGGCUAAGUAUCCGCAAGGAGGCGAACCCGGGGAACUGAAACAUCUAAGUACCCGGAGGAAGAGAAAACAAUAGUGAUUGCGCUAGUAGUGGCGAGCGAACGCGCAGUAGCCCAAACCAAUGAGUUUACGGACUUAUUGGGGUUGUAGGACUGCAAUAUAGAUUGUAUCAUGAACUAGAAUCAUCUGGAAAGAUGAGCCAUAGACGGUGACAGCCCGGUAUGGGUAAGUGCAUAUAAUUUUAGCAGGAUCCUGAGUAGUGCGGGGCACGUGAAACCCUGUAUGAAUCCGGCGGGACCAUCCGCCAAGGCUAAAUACUCCUGAGAGACCGAUAGUGAACCAGUACCGUGAGGGAAAGGUGAAAAGAACCCUGAACAAGGGAGUGAAAUAGAACCUGAAACCAUACGCUUACAAGCGGUCGGAGCCCCUUUGGGGUGACGGCGUGCCUUUUGCAUAAUGAGCCUACGAGUUACCGUUUCCAGCAAGGUUAAGCACUUCAGGUGUGGAGCCGUAGCGAAAGCGAGUCUGAAUAGGGCGCUUUAGUUGGUAGUGGUAGACGCGAAACCGUGUGAUCUACCCUUGGGCAGGUUGAAGCUGUGGUAACACAUAGUGGAGGACCGAACCCGUUGACGUUGAAAAGUCUUGGGAUGACCUGAGGGUAGGGGUGAAAGGCCAAUCAAACUCGGAAAUAGCUCGUACUCCCCGAAAUGCAUUUAGGUGCAGCGAUAUAGUUAGUUUUAUAGAGGUAGAGCUACUGAUUGGAUGCGGGGGCUUCACCGCCUACCAAUUCCUGACAAACUCCGAAUGCUAUAAAAUGGUAUAUAUCAGUGAGGGCAUGGGUGCUAAGGUCCAUGUCCGAGAGGGAAAGAACCCAGACCAUCAGCUAAGGUCCCCAAAUGUAUGUUAAGUUGAAUAAACGCGGUUGGACUGCCCAGACAGCUAGGAUGUUGGCUUGGAAGCAGCCAUUCAUUUAAAGAGUGCGUAACAGCUCACUAGUCGAGCGGUCCGGCAUGGAUAAUAAUCGGGCAUAAACAUACUACCGAAGCUAUGGAUUACAGUUUUACUGUAGUGGUAGGGGAGCAUUGUAACAGAGGCGAAGGUGUACUGCGAGGUAUGCUGGAUUGGUUACAAAAGAAAAUGUAGGCAUAAGUAACGAUAAUGCAGGCGAGAAACCUGCACACCGAAAGACCAAGGUUUCCCCAGCUAUGCUAAUCAGCUGGGGGUUAGUCGGGACCUAAGGCGAACCCGAAGGGGGUAGUCGAUGGACAAGCAGUUAAUAUUCUGCUACUUGCCCCAUGUUAAAGCGGACGGAGGCGUAAAGUUGGUGCGUACUGACGGAAUAGUACGUUGAAGGGAGUGGUAACACCUCGAUAGUACACGAAAGCUACGGCCGGAGUGAUAAUCCAGCGGCGCGACUUCCAAGAAAAGCGAGUGGAGGCAACCCGUACCGUAAACCGACACAGGUAGUUGGGAUGAGAAUUCUAAGGUGCUCGAGAGAUUCAUGGCUAAGGAACUAGGCAAAAUUGGCCCGUAACUUCGGGAGAAGGGUCGCCCACAGCAAUGUGGGCCGCAGUGAAAAGAUCCAGGCGACUGUUUAUCAAAAACACAGGACUCUGCUAAAUCGAAAGAUGACGUAUAGGGUCUGACACCUGCCCGGUGCCGGAAGGUUAAGGGGAGAGCUUAGCAUUAGCGAAGGCUUGAACUGAAGCCCCGGUAAACGGCGGCCGUAACUAUAACGGUCCUAAGGUAGCGAAAUUCCUUGUCGGGUAAGUUCCGACCUGCACGAAUGGUGCAACGAUCUGGAUACUGUCUCAGCCAUGAGCUCGGUGAAAUUGUAGUAUCGGUGAAGAUGCCGAUUACCCGCUACGGGACGAAAAGACCCCGUGCACCUUUACUAUAGCUUAGUAUUGACUUUGAACAAGUGAUGUGUAGGAUAGGUAGGAGACUUUGAAGCGGUAUCGCCAGGUAUCGUGGAGUCGUUGUUGAAAUACUACCCUUUACUUGUUUAGAGCCUAACUUCCAAUGGAAGGACAGUGCUUGGUGGGUAGUUUGACUGGGGUGGUCGCCUCCAAAAGAGUAACGGAGGCUUCUAAAGGUUCCCUCAGCACGCUUGGUAACCGUGCGUAGAGUGCAAUGGCAAAAGGGAGCUUGACUGAGAGACAUACAGGUCGAUCAGGUACGAAAGUAGAGCAUAGUGAUCCGGUGGCACCGCAUGGAAGGGCCAUCGCUCAAAGGAUAAAAGGUACGCCGGGGAUAACAGGCUGAUCUCCCCCAAGAGCUCACAUCGACGGGGGGGUUUGGCACCUCGAUGUCGGCUCGUCACAUCCUGGGGCUGGAGAAGGUCCCAAGGGUUGGGCUGUUCGCCCAUUAAAGUGGCACGCGAGCUGGGUUCAGAACGUCGUGAGACAGUUCGGUCUCUAUCUGUAGUGGGCGUUAGAAAUUUGAGUGGACCUGACUCUAGUACGAGAGGACCGAGUUGGACCAACCUCUGGUGUAUCUGUUGUUCCGCCAGGAGCAUUGCAGAGUAGCUACGUUGGGAAGGGAUAAGCGCUGAAAGCAUAUAAGCGCGAAACCCACCACAAGAUGAGAUUUCUUUAAAGGACCGUGGGAGACGACCACGUUGAUAGGCUACAGGUGUAAAGGCAGUAAUGUCAUAGCCGAGUAGUACUAAUACUCCGUAAAGCUUGAUGCGCCUGCCCCG